Coregonus clupeaformis (lake whitefish) is the source of this 3403-nucleotide long non-coding RNA. RefSeq lists it as uncharacterized. The transcript has 2 exons. NCBI's taxonomy places the organism in Eukaryota, Metazoa, Chordata, Actinopteri, Salmoniformes, Salmonidae. The record is from RefSeq and is a predicted model, not a curated record.
UAAAAAAUGGGAGAUUUAUUUUUCACAGCAUUCAAAAUAUGAAAAGGAAGAAACCUUUACAAGUAAAUAAUACAUACAUGGUACUUUUUCCAAGUAUGAUAUGAUAUUUCCAAGUAUGAUACGACAUUCAGUGUUGUAGUAUUUAUAUGGGAACUGCAUAAUGAGGUACUUGGUUUCUAUUCAGAAAAGCAGGAUGUACUGUAAGGCGGUAGAUCCCCGUAAUAUCGCGUUUUACAUUUAAAAGGUUUAUCGUGAAUGCGGCCCCCACGAACAUUACCUUUAAAAAGGUGCAUAGCCGACAAAGCGCGAUUGGACUAAAUCCCAGCCUAAGACUGCAUCCACAAUGGCUGUAUUUACACAGGCAGCCUAAUUCUGAUCUUUUGCCAAUAAUUGGUCUUUUGACCAAUCAGAUCAGAUCUUUUGCCAAUAAUUGGUCUUUUGACCAAUCAGAUCAGAUAUUUUGCCAAUAGUUGGGCAACAGAUCAGAAUUGGGCUUCCUGUGUAAACACAGCCUUAGACAAUGGAUCAUAGACUGUAUAUAUUUUGCUGUAAAUACAUAGUCAUCGUCAGACUUUAGUUAUUUUUUUCACAGAUGAUCAUGAACGAAACCAUGAAAGUAGACUAUUGCUGCAUCCUGAAUAUAUUGCUUGACCCCUUGGUUACUUACAUUUCUCCAUACAUAGACAGAGACCAAGGUACGCUAUGACAAGUCAAAAAGCCAUAGCUCUCCAUAUGAGGAAAACAAAGCGUUAAGACAAAAACCUGAAGCUGUAUGUGAGAACAUUUAUUCACUGGUGUUUUAUCCAGGGGUGUAUUCAUGUGGCAAAAUGUUUUGCAGAGGAAAAGGAUUUGCAAAGAAAAUGAGUGUUUCUUAUUGGACAAGUUCAGGUUAGUCCCUCCCCAUUUCAUCCUGUUUGGUUCCGAGUGAAUAACCCUGAGGUAUCCUAGAGCACUGUUCCUUCAGGACCCUGGGAUAGAUAGUUGUAUUACCGGUCUAUUCUCAGGUGUUAGUGUAGUGGAGGUUUGUGAUGAGGUAGCACUGCCUGAGACUUGAAAUAUAUCAUUCUCACCCUUCGCGGAAUUUCCUCUUGGUCUAAUGGUUAACAUGUUGGUUUCCUGAGCAGGAGACCAGGGUUCAGAUUGCACCCGUAACAGUUUUAACGUUCCUCCAAGAAGGAGGAACCCAUAGCUUGCUAUUCGCUGGUAUAGAAGUUAGAAAAACACAGUUCUAGAGAAACACUACAUAUGCAGUGUCGUCUGUUACCAUGGUAAAGACAUUACACUAGGAAGGAAGCUGAUAGAGAAUAGAACAUUGUUGUUAUGUUUAAUUACUUGGGGAGAUAAAACAAAUAAAACACAGAAAGAUGAAGAUCUGCAUCCUCAAACCUGAGCCAUAACUACCACUACAGUCUACCCUGGCUGAGCCAUAACUACCACUACAGUCUACCCUGGCUGAGCCAUAACUACCACUACAGUCUACCCUGGCUGAGAGCCAUAACUACCACUACAGUCUACCCUGGCUGAGAGCCAUAACUACCACUACAGUCUACCCUGGCUGAGCCAUAACUACCACUACAGUCUACCCUGGCUGAGAGCCAUAACUACCACUUACAGUCUACCCUGGCUGAGAGCCAUAACUACCACUACAGUCUACCCUGGCUGAGAGCCAUAACUACCACUACAGUCUACCCUGGCUGAGAGCCAUAACUACCACUACAGUCUACCCUGGCUGAGAGCCAUAACUACCACUACAGUCUACCCUGGCUGAGAGCCAUAUAACUACCAUUACAGUCUACCCUGGCUGAGCCAUAACUACCAUUACAGUCUACCCUGGCUGAGCCAUAACUACCACUACAGUCUUCCCUGGCUGAGAGCCAUAACUACCACUACAGUCUACCCUGGCUGAGAGCCAUAACUACCACUACAGUCUACCCUGGCUGAGAGCCAUAACUACCACUACAGUCUACCCUGGCUGAGCCAUAACUACCACUACAGUCUACCCUGGCUGAGAGCCAUAACUACCACUACAGUCUACCCUGGCUGAGAGCCAUAACUACCACUACUGGGAUUGAAACAUUACUAGAGCAGGAUAAUGUUGAUACUGGCAGGUAGAAAUAUCGGGUGUGAUCACCGGUGACAUCACAAAACAAUCGAGCCCUGCCCAGAAACCACCCUAGGCCUACUCAAGUCUAUACCCUUAAAUCUGAGAGGGUUGGAUAGGUAUAAGGAAUAGGGUGAAGUGUUCACCUUGCCUGUCAGAGAGCAAAUGAGACUGUAGUGGUAGAUAUCGCGCAGCCAGGAUUGACUGUAGUGGUAGAUAUCGCGCAGCCAGGAUUGACUGUAGUGGUAGAUAUCGCGCAGCCAGGAUUGACUGUAGUGGUAGAUAUCGCGCAGCCAGGAUUGACUGUAGUGGUAGAUAUCGCGCAGCCAGGAUUGACUGUAGUGGUAGAUAUCGCGCAGCCAGGAUUGACUGUAGUGGUAGAUAUCGCGCAGCCAGGAUUGACUGUAGUGGUAGAUAUCGCGCAGCCAGGAUUGACUGUAGUGGUAGAUAUCGCGCAGCCAGGAUUGACUGUAGUGGUAGAUAUCGCGCAGCCAGGAUUGACUGUAGUGGUAGAUAUCGCCGCAGCCAGGAUUGACUGUAGUGGUAGAUAUCGCGCAGCCAGGAUUGACUGUAGUGGUAGAUAUCGCGCAGCCAGGUUUGACUGUAGUGGUAGAUAUCGCGCAGCCAGGAUUGACUGUAGUGGUAGAUAUCGCGCAGCCAGGUUUGACUGUAGUGGUAGAUAUCGCGCAGCCAGGUUUGACUGUACGGUGUACAAAUAUUACCAUAUUUUUCUAUACCCAUCCAAUUCUUCAAGAUCCACACAAGGGUCUAGACUCAAGAGUAGGGGUCUCUUCUAGAAGGGGGCCAUUGCAUUUUUUGCUGAAAGACAAUCUAGCAACACAUUUCUUUACAGAGAGAAAAAUGUAAGCACUAGCUACAUAGCUUUUGACCCCGAGCCACUCAUACCAAUAGAAUAUAUUAUAAAAAUCAAUAACACAAAACCAUAUUUCAGGGUUCUCCCCAGGAUUUUGGACUCAGAGAUUGUUGCAUGUUUUAACACCUGUAAAUGCAAUUUCCUGCAAUCUAGAGCAAAACAUUGCCUUAAAAUGAUAAAAUAAAGUUGCAAUAUAUAUAUUUUAAAAAAUAAUACAGUGGCACAGCGCCCCGCUUACAUUCUUUGGGGAGAACCAUGAUAUUUAGAAAAUUAAAAACAGAAAACACAUUAUUAUUAUUAUUAUUAUUAUUAUGUAAAAUGAAAAACAAUAAUGCCCCAAUCAGAUACGGUGUAAAAUCAGUGUUCUGCAACUGCGUACAUUACAACAACAGGUAUUUACAUACAAGAUCCAGACUCUUAUUUGGGUU